ACAGCAGCCGCCGCGGUAAUACGGAGGAUCCGAGCGUUAUCCGGAAUUAUUGGGUUUAAAGGGUGCGUAGGCGGAUAGAUAAGUCAGUGGUGAAAGACGGUGGCUCAACCAUCGCAGUGCCGUUGAUACUGUUUAUCUUGAAUAUGGAUGAGGUAGGCGGAAUGUGGCAAGUAGCGGUGAAAUGCAUAGAUAUGCCACAGAACACCGAUUGCGAAGGCAGCUUACCAAGGCAAAAUUGACGCUGAGGCACGAAAGCGUGGGGAUCGAACAGGAUUAGAUACCCCGGUAGUCCCUGUCUCUUAUAC
Molecule: ribosomal RNA, 305 nt
Filed under: uncultured bacterium
Lineage: Bacteria
Description: partial 16S ribosomal RNA
Rfam family: Bacterial small subunit ribosomal RNA
Source: RNAcentral